Molecule: ribosomal RNA, 929 nt
Filed under: Cryobacterium psychrophilum
Lineage: Bacteria; Bacillati; Actinomycetota; Actinomycetes; Micrococcales; Microbacteriaceae
Description: bacterial SSU rRNA
Rfam family: Bacterial small subunit ribosomal RNA
Source: RNAcentral
UUGCUCCUUCUGAUCAGUGGCGAACGGGUGAGUAACACGUGAGCAAUCUGCCCUUGACUCUGGGAUAACUGCGGGAAACUGUAGCUAAUACCGGAUACGACCCUCGGAGGCAUCUCCUGGGGGUGGAAAGAAUUUUGGUCAAGGAUGAGCUCGCGGCCUAUCAGCUAGUUGGUGAGGUAAUGGCUCACCAAGGCGACGACGGGUAGCCGGCCUGAGAGGGUGACCGGCCACACUGGGACUGAGACACGGCCCAGACUCCUACGGGAGGCAGCAGUGGGGAAUAUUGCACAAUGGGCGCAAGCCUGAUGCAGCAACGCCGCGUGAGGGACGAAGGCCUUCGGGUUGUAAACCUCUUUUAGUAGGGAAGAAGCGAGGUGUUUACACUUCAUGACGGUACCUGCAGAAAAAGCACCGGCUAACUACGUGCCAGCAGCCGCGGUAAUACGUAGGGUGCAAGCGUUGUCCGGAAUUAUUGGGCGUAAAGAGCUCGUAGGCGGUUUGUCGCGUCUGCUGUGAAAACCCGAGGCUCAACCUCGGGCCUGCAGUGGGUACGGGCAGACUAGAGUGCGGUAGGGGAGAUUGGAAUUCCUGGUGUAGCGGUGGAAUGCGCAGAUAUCAGGAGGAACACCAAUGGCGAAGGCAGAUCUCUGGGCCGUAACUGACGCUGAGGAGCGAAAGCAUGGGGAGCGAACAGGAUUAGAUACCCUGGUAGUCCAUGCCGUAAACGUUGGGAACUAGAUGUGGGGACCAUUCCACGGUCUCCGUGUCGCAGCUAACGCAUUAAGUUCCCCGCCUGGGGAGUACGGCCGCAAGGCUAAAACUCAAAGGAAUUGACGGGGGCCCGCACAAGCGGCGGAGCAUGCGGAUUAAUUCGAUGCAACGCGAAGAACCUUACCAAGGCUUGACAUAUAGAGGAAACGGUUGGAAAC